RNAcentral lists this ribosomal RNA (492 nucleotides) under uncultured bacterium. RNAcentral's name for it is "partial 16S ribosomal RNA". It matches the Rfam family "Bacterial small subunit ribosomal RNA", at positions 29 to 507 of the family's 1533-position model. The record is from RNAcentral.
AGUGAACGCUGGCGGUAGGCCUAACACAUGCAAGUCGAACGGCAGCACAGUAAGAGCUUGCUCUUACGGGUGGCGAGUGGCGGACGGGUGAGGAAUACAUCGGAAUCUACUUUUUCGUGGGGGAUAACGUAGGGAAACUUACGCUAAUACCGCAUACGACCUACGGGUGAAAGCAGGGGAUCUUCUGACCUUGCGCGAUUGAAUGAGCCGAUGUCGGAUUAGCUAGUUGGCGGGGUAAAGGCCCACCAAGGCGACGAUCCGUAGCUGGUCUGAGAGGAUGAUCAGCCACACUGGAACUGAGACACGGUCCAGACUCCUACGGGAGGCCGCAGUGGGGAAUAUUGGACAAUGGGCGCAAGCCUGAUCCAGCCAUACCGCGUGGGUGAAGAAGGCCUUCGGGUUGUAAAGCCCUUUUGUUGGGAAAGAAAAGCAGCAGGUUAAUACCCCGCUGUUCUGACGGUACCCAAAGAAUAAGCACCGGCUAACUUCGUG